Molecule: non-coding RNA, 208 nt
Organism: Bactrocera oleae (olive fruit fly)
Lineage: Eukaryota; Metazoa; Arthropoda; Insecta; Diptera; Tephritidae
Source: RefSeq, a predicted model, not a curated record
GAUUCUUCGGCAAGACAACUUCCUAUAAUUUGAAUAAAAUAGAAAUAUUGAACUAAUGUGCUGACUACAAUAGAAAAUAAAAUUUUGAUAGACCCUCGAAAAGCGCAAUGAAUGUUCUUGAUGAUGUGUGCGAUAAUUGUUGCCAUGUUAAUGAAAGCAGAAGAAACAUGUACAUAUGGAUAUAUCUACGGACCGUUUACAAAACAAC